UACAGAGGGCGCGAGCGUUAAUCGGAAUUACUGGGCGUAAAGCGCACGUAGGUGGCGACGUAAGUCGGGUGUGAAAGCCCCGGGCUCAACCUGGGAAUUGCAUUCGAGACUGCAUUGCUGGAGUACGGAAGAGGAGGGCGGAAUUCCCGGUGUAGCGGUGAAAUGCGUAGAUACCGGGAGGAACAUCAGUGGCGAAGGCGGCCCUCUGGUCCAGUACUGACACGCAAGUGCGAAAGCGUGGGGAGCAUACAGG
RNAcentral lists this ribosomal RNA (253 nucleotides) under uncultured bacterium. Its description in RNAcentral is "partial 16S ribosomal RNA". It matches the Rfam family "Bacterial small subunit ribosomal RNA", at positions 524 to 776 of the family's 1533-position model. The record is from RNAcentral.